RNAcentral lists this ribosomal RNA (1275 nucleotides) under Triticum aestivum (bread wheat). RNAcentral's name for it is "partial small subunit ribosomal RNA". The record is from RNAcentral. Lineage: Eukaryota; Viridiplantae; Streptophyta; Magnoliopsida; Poales; Poaceae.
AUGGACCACGGCGACCUGGCGGCGCUCCUGCCGGAGGACGUGCUCGCCGAGGUGCUCCGUCGCGUGGCGGCGCCGCGCUGGCUUGCUAUGUCGCGCUGCGUCUGCAAGGCGUGGCGAGCCAUCAUCGACGGCGAGAGCCUCCUGCGCACAGAGCUCCCGUUUAGCGGCUUCUUCAUCACCUUCCGAGAGCUCUGUUUGCCUGAGUUCUUCUCCCGCCCCGUGUCGCCGCCUGGCCGGCCAGCGAUCAGCGGCAAGCUCGAUUUCCUACCCACACCCAUUAAAGUUCGUCCUGAUGGGUGGAGCUUGGACGGCGACUACUACAUCCAGGAUCACUGCAAUGGACUCCUAUUGCUCGACGGCUACGUGGUUAACCCCGCCACGCGAAGCUGGGAUCCUCUGGCCCCAUGCCCGCCCAACCAUGGUUCAGGGAUCGUCUAUGAUGCCCUUGACCGAGAGCUUCUCGCCUUUGAUCCCAUGGUUUCAUCUCACUACCACGUGGUGUCGAUCCACUAUUUGCCUACCUACUUCAGGCCUGCUCAAUUCGACCCCUUAGAGGAGGCAUCCGAAUGGCCACCAUCUCCAUAUAUCUUGCAUGUAUUCUCUUCAAAGACACGGCAUUGGGAGGAGAGGUCUUUUGUUCGAGAAGGGAAUGCUGGAGGGACAGUUGCCGAGGCGCGUGCAGAUUUGGGGCGAGUUUCCUCGGUCUACUGGCGAGGAUCACUUUAUGUGCUUUCCCAAUAUAAUUUCAUUACGAGAAUAUCUUUGUCUGAAGAUAAGUACAGUGUGAUUAAGCCACCAAUGGGUAUUGGAUGGAGCAGUUAUAUAGGAUUAUCCGAAAAAGGAGUGUAUUGUGCGUCAUUUCUUAAGAAUGAUCACAUUCUGGUUUGCACCCUCAAUGAAACGUGUAAUCAGUUUGAUUGGAUAUUAAAGCACGAGUAUGACCUUAAGCCUGUGGAAAUGUUUGAUCGCCAAGGUCGCUUCCUUUCUCAUCCGUGUCAGUGCUCGUGUGCUGUUGUAUUCACAAAAUAUAUAUGUGACAUUAGUGUUGUGAACAAGGGGACUAAAAAACAAAGAAACAAAAAGGCAGAAAAAACUAAGGAUAUGAACUGGACAAACAUUAUAGCCACUAGCACAAAUCAUCAGACAGUUUUAGUUCCUUUUAUCAAAAACACAAACUUUACUUCAGGAAUGUUCUCAACUCUACUUCAGGAAUACACAAACUUUACUGAUGCUUGUGUUAUAAAAACAGGACAACAAGAACAGGUGAAACUUUGA